GACGAGGGGUCCAAGCGUUGUUCGGAAUCAUUGGGCGUAAAGCGGGUGUAGGUGGCUCUAUAAGUCAGAAGUGAAAGCCCCGAGCUUAACUUGGGAAGUGCUUUUGAUACUGUAGAGCUUGAAUGUGGGAGAGGAUCGUGGAAUUCCCGGUGUAGCGGUGAAAUGCGCAGAUAUCGGGAAGAACACCCGUGGCGAAGGCGGCACUCUGGGACGGUACUGACGCUGAGACGCGAAAGCGUGGGGAGCGAACAGG
RNAcentral lists this ribosomal RNA (253 nucleotides) under uncultured bacterium. RNAcentral describes it as "partial 16S ribosomal RNA". It matches the Rfam family "Bacterial small subunit ribosomal RNA", at positions 524 to 776 of the family's 1533-position model. The record is from RNAcentral.